AUCUUUUGGUUCUUUUAUGAAAGAUGGUUUCUGCUCAGUGUUUAUAAAUAGCCGCGGUAAUUUGACCGUGCAAAGGUAGCAUAAUCAUUUGCCCUAUAAUUGAGGGCUGGAAUGAAUGGAAGAACAAGGUGUCUGCUUUGUUUUAAAGAAAAAAAAAAUUUUCUUUUUUAGUGAAGAAGCUAAAAUUAGUUUGGGGGACAAGAAGACCCUUUUGAGCUUUAUUAGUAGUGUCUUUUUUUUUCAUCACUAAUUUGGUUGGGGCGACCGAGGAARAUAGGAUCUUCCUUAUUUUACUUUGACCCGUAGGUUGCGAGCAAUGGAUUAAGCUACCAAAGGGAUAACAGCGUAAUUUUUUUUGUGAGUUCUUAUUAAAAGAAAAGAUUGCGACCUCGAUGUUGACUUAUGGUUACCUUUUGGUGCAGCAGCUAUUAAGGGUGGUCUGUUCGACCUUUAAAACCUU
Molecule: ribosomal RNA, 460 nt
Filed under: Amphiporus angulatus
Lineage: Eukaryota; Metazoa; Nemertea; Enopla; Monostilifera; Amphiporidae
Description: partial 16S ribosomal RNA
Rfam family: Bacterial large subunit ribosomal RNA
Source: RNAcentral